This is an RNA transcript of Mauremys mutica (yellowpond turtle), 452 nucleotides long. It is a transcript of the gene named lymphocyte antigen 6E-like, with no coding region annotated. The record is from RefSeq and is a predicted model, not a curated record. NCBI's taxonomy places the organism in Eukaryota, Metazoa, Chordata, Testudines, Geoemydidae. The transcript has 3 exons.
GUCAGUUCAUGCUCUGUGGUUGGCUGAUGUCAUUAUGGACAAAAUUCCCCCUGAAGCCUCAUGCUAACUGCUGAAGCCAGUGUCUCCCAGGAUACCAGCCUCUCACUCGCUGGUGUGCUUCACCUGUAAGGAUGCGUCCUCCAAUUGGCGUUGUCUGGCACCAACUAUGUGUCGAAGUGCUGAAAACAACUGUGUGACAGAAUAUAGUAUUUUAGAAACUGGCGGACAUUCCGGGCAGAGCAUCUCCAAGCAGUGUUCUGUACAUUGCCCCGGCGGUGUUUCCUGCUGCAGUUUUUCCUUCUGCAACUUCAGCAGGGCCAGCAGCGUGAAAGUCAGCUACUCCGUGCUGGCCAUGGUGGUCUUGGCCAGCUUUGUCUAUGUCAGAGCCGGACUCUGAUCAGGCCAGGAAAAAAGAAGUUGAUGCCCUGAAGAAUCUGCUCAGGCUUCUCCAA